GAGUUUGAUCAUGGCUCAGGGCGAACGCUGGCGGCAGGCCUAAUACAUGCAAGUCGAACGGCUCUUCGGAGCAGUGGCGGACGGGUGAGUAACGCGUGGGAACGUGCCCUUUGGUUCGGAACAACACAGGGAAACUUGUGCUAAUACCGAAUGUGCCCUUCGGGGGAAAGAUUUAUCGCCAUUGGAGCGGCCCGCGUUGGAUUAGCUAGUUGGUGGGGUAAAGGCCUACCAAGGCUACGAUCCAUAGCUGGUCUGAGAGGAUGAUCAGCCACACUGGGACUGAGACACGGCCCAGACUCCUACGGGAGGCAGCAGUAGGGAAUCUUGCGCAAUGGGCGAAAGCCUGACGCAGCCAUGCCGCGUGAAUGAUGAAGGUCUUAGGAUUGUAAAAUUCUUUCACCGGGGAAGAUAAUGACGGUACCCGGAGAAGAAGCCCCGGCUAACUUCGUGCCAGCCGCCGCAGU
RNAcentral lists this ribosomal RNA (464 nucleotides) under uncultured Alphaproteobacteria bacterium. RNAcentral's name for it is "bacterial SSU rRNA". It matches the Rfam family "Bacterial small subunit ribosomal RNA", at positions 9 to 521 of the family's 1533-position model. The record is from RNAcentral. Lineage: Bacteria; Pseudomonadati; Pseudomonadota; Alphaproteobacteria.